RNAcentral lists this non-coding RNA (26 nucleotides) under Homo sapiens (human). The record is from RNAcentral. Lineage: Eukaryota; Metazoa; Chordata; Mammalia; Primates; Hominidae.
UGCCAGUAAUAUAGUGUUGUAUGCCU